CUAUACACACACAGACUGCCCCCCCACAAAUACACACACAGAUUGAACCAUACACACACAGAGACUGAAACCCCCCACACACAGACUGACCCAUACAAACAGACUGACCCAUACACACUCAGACUGCCCCCCCACACAGACAAACUGCCCCCACACACAGAUUGACCCAUACACACACAGAGACUGCCCCCCUUAGCAGAAUGUACCAC
Non-coding RNA from Pelobates cultripes (western spadefoot toad), 209 nucleotides. Lineage: Eukaryota; Metazoa; Chordata; Amphibia; Anura; Pelobatidae. The record is from the annotation of a GenBank genome assembly.